Molecule: RNA transcript, 3401 nt
Organism: Conger conger (European conger)
Lineage: Eukaryota; Metazoa; Chordata; Actinopteri; Anguilliformes; Congridae
Gene: stxbp1b
Gene name: syntaxin binding protein 1b
Exons: 20
Source: RefSeq, a predicted model, not a curated record
GCAAUCAGCUGCGAUACGAGGUGUACAUCCUCGCUCUAGCGGAGGUAGGGUGGGAAAGAGGGGGGGAGAGAGGAGCGGUCUGCCUACACUGAAGCAUCAUGGCACCCAUCGGACUGAAGGCGGUGGUCGGAGAAAAAAUUAUGAAUGAUGUCAUCAAGAAGGUGAAAAAGAAGGGAGAAUGGAAGGUACUGAUAGUGGAUCAGCUCAGCAUGAGGAUGCUUUCGUCUUGCUGCAAGAUGACGGACAUCAUGACAGAGGGCAUCACCAUUGUUGAAGACAUUAACAAGCGGCGUGAGCCACUGCCCAGUCUGGAGGCGAUUUAUCUCAUCACUCCAUCGUAUGAUUCUGUUCAGGCCCUCAUCUCAGACUUCAGAGACCCACAGUCACCACAAUACCGCGGGGCCCACGUGUUCUUCACGGACUCAUGUCCGGACCCCCUAUUCAAGGACUUGGUAAAGUCCCGCGCCUCCAAAACCAUCAAGACAUUGACUGAGAUCAACAUCGCCUUCCUGCCCUAUGAGUCACAGGUGUACUCUCUGGACAGUGCAGAUGCCUUCCAAAGCUUCUACAGCCCCUACAAGGCCCAGCAGAAGAACCCGGUGAUGGAGCGGCUGGCCGAGCAGCUAGCCACGCUGUGUGCCACACUGAAGGAGUACCCUGCUGUGCGAUACCGCGGUGAGUACAAGGACAAUGCGACUUUGGCACAGCUUCUUCAGGAUAAACUGGAUGCAUACAAGGCUGAUGAUCCCACCAUGGGAGAGGGUCCAGACAAGGCGCGCUCCCAGCUGAUCAUCCUGGACCGGGCGUUUGACCCUGUGUCACCCAUCCUGCACGAGCUCACCUUCCAGGCCAUGGGCUACGACCUGCUGCCCAUCGAGAACGACGUCUACAAGUACGAGACCAGCGGAAUGGGAGACGCCCGGGAGAAGGAGGUGCUGCUGGAUGAGGACGAUGACCUCUGGAUGACCCUGCGGCACAAACACAUCGCAGAGGUGUCUCAGGCAGUGACACGCUCCCUGAAGGACUUCUCCGCCAGCAAAAGGAUGAACACCGGAGAUAAAACUACCAUGAGAGACCUGUCCCAGAUGCUGAAGAAGAUGCCUCAGUAUCAGAAAGAGCUAAGCAAGUACUCCACCCAUCUCCACCUGGCAGAGGACUGCAUGAAACACUACCAGGGCACAGUGGACAAGCUGUGCCGUGUCGAGCAGGACCUUGCCAUGGGCACAGAUGCAGAGGGCGAGAAGAUCAAGGACCCCAUGAGGGCCAUCGUCCCCAUCCUGCUGGACACCAACGUCAGCACCCACGACAAGAUCCGCAUCAUCCUGCUCUACAUAUUCCUAAAGAACGGGAUCACAGAGGAGAACCUGAACAAGCUGAUCCAGCAUGCACAGAUCCCACCUGAGGACAGCGAAAUCAUCACUAACAUGGCUCACCUGGGAAUACCCAUCAUCUCAGACUCCACUCUGCGCCGUGGUAAGAAACAGGACCGCAAGGAACGUGUCAGUGAGCAGACGUACCAGCUCUCACGAUGGACCCCGUUGAUCAAGGACAUUAUGGAGGAUGCAAUUGAGGACAAACUGGACACCAAACAGUACCCCUACAUCUCAACCCGGUCUUCCGCCUCAUUCAGCACCACAGCUGUCAGUGCCCGUUAUGGCCACUGGCACAAGAACAAAACCCCUGGGGAGUACCGCACGGGACCCAGAGUCAUGGUCUUCAUCGUUGGAGGAGUGUCCUUCAGCGAGAUGCGCUGUGCCUAUGAGGUCACACAGGCCAACGGCAAAUGGGAGGCCAUCAUUGGUUCCACCCACACGCUCACCCCCGUCAAAUAUCUAAAGGACCUACAGCACACCGACUUCCGGGAUCCCAAUAGGGAAUCCUUUGAGGAAGAUCCGGAACCGGCAGAGGACUGAGGGGGCGAGAGAGAGAAAGAGAGAGAGGGAGAGGGAGGAAAUAACACUGAUAAAGGUCCACCCACGUCUUUACCCCCACCCGACUUCUCAACGCCCUGAAGGACAUGAAUAAACCUGAGGAGGAGCCGGAGGACUAAAGACCUGGCCCUCCUCCCGCUUUCUCCCUUCUUCUCCACCGCUCUUCAUCCUGGCUUCCCCCGCCUUCCCACCAGUGAACCUCUCUGUCCUCUGUAUUAAACAUGUACACAUAUCGCGAGUGAAGAAUGUAAAACACCAACUAUAAAGCAAAGUUCAAAUAUAAAUUAUUGCAGUUUCUUGUUUUGCAACGGAUGCACGUAGAUGAGUUUUUUUAUUUUUUAUUAUAUCAUUUAAGAAAGACACUGGAAGUACCAAACGUAAGAUUGUAUGCUUUAUGAAAAUCUGCUGCAAUGUGUACAAUUUAGAGAUUUCUUUGGCUUCCUUUGGUUGUUUUAAUGGUGUUAAUGGUUUUGUUAUGUGUUAAUAGGAUGCAUCCAAGGUGACUGAGUGGGAAAAGCUAAAAAGUACACAGAGAGCUGACUGUAUGCGCCAUUAGGUUUGGACACGUCCAUUUUAGGUGGAAAACUCUGGAGACUUUUGCAGCAAUUACACAUUAGGAGGGGGGAAAAGUAUUUGAUGGUGCUUCCCACAAUGAGGCAUAUGGAGAUCAUUUGGAUAAGACACUGCCAUCCAUCUUAGAAAAAAAUGUCCUGAACAGGACACAUACGUAACCCAAACAUUUGAGUUAAAGGGACCAAGACCACAUGAAUGGAAUGUCCAGUUUUCCGACAGGGAAAGAUACUGAAAAGCAGUUUACAGAAUUUCCGUAGCAUGGCUGACGGCGUCCGAUCUUGACGUUUUGCGAGCGGUUGGGUUUCACUGCCCAGGCGUCCAUUUCAGAAGAGAAUUCACGUUUCAGCGUCAGAAAAGGUCGUCCGUUGGCAACUUUAUAAAGAAUGUUGUACAAAAAAGGCCAGUUUUAUGUCAGUAUUGUAGUCUGUGAAAUUAAGUCUUAUCAUUGGUUCUUAGUAACAUUUAACCCAUCUCCCGUGCACUGAAACCCGUGUGUGUAUAUGCCAUGUUUUUGUGACUCGACGUUUCUAGUGGUAUUUCUGACUGUGAAAGUAGUUCCCAUUUGAACAUGCCCAUACAAAGUCACUGUGAUCGUGAUGUCAUAGUUGUAGCCAUAGUGAUUAAAUAAGAAAACUAUCAAGAUGUUAUUAGCUUGUUUCUCACCUGGUGUAGCGUAAAAGUCCAGUGGUGAAAAAGGCUGCAGAUAUUUUGGAUUUUUGGUUUCAGUUUAGCAAUUCUUUCCUCAAAUUUAGCCACACCCUUUUAUUGGGCUAAACUGUACAUUGCACUGUCAUUGUCAUGUUUUUUUUUUUUUGUUAUCUAGCGAUCAUUGUCUUGAUUUUUAUCAAAGUUAUUUAUCAGUGAAAAUAAUAAUAAACUGAAUUGGUCGUAAAACCA